This 490-nucleotide ribosomal RNA is filed under the name uncultured bacterium. RNAcentral's name for it is "partial 16S ribosomal RNA". It matches the Rfam family "Bacterial small subunit ribosomal RNA", at positions 30 to 507 of the family's 1533-position model. The record is from RNAcentral.
AUUGAACGCUGGCGGCAGGCCUAACACAUGCAAGUCGAACGGUAACAGGAAACAGCUUGCUGUUUCGCCGACGAGUGGCGGACGGGUGAGUAAUGUCUGGGAAACUGCCUGAUGGAGGGGGAUAACUACUGGAAACGGUAGCUAAUACCGCAUAACGUCGCAAGACCAAAGAGGGGGACCUUCGGGCCUCUUGCCAUCAGAUGUGCCCAGAUGGGAUUAGCUAGUAGGUGGGGUAACGGCUCACCUAGGCGACGAUCCCUAGCUGGUCUGAGAGGAUGACCAGCCACACUGGAACUGAGACACGGUCCAGACUCCUACGGGAGGCAGCAGUGGGGAAUAUUGCACAAUGGGCGCAAGCCUGAUGCAGCCAUGCCGCGUGUAUGAAGAAGGCCUUCGGGUUGUAAAGUACUUUCAGCGGGGAGGAAGGGAGUAAAGUUAAUACCUUUGCUCAUUGACGUUACCCGCAGAAGAAGCACCGGCUAACUCCGUG